UACGGAGGAUCCGAGCGUUAUCCGGAUUUAUUGGGUUUAAAGGGUGCGUAGGUGGAUUGGUAAGUCAGUGGUGAAAGUUUGCAGCUUAACUGUAAAAUUGCCGUUGAAACUGCCGGUCUUGAGUGCAAAUGAGGUAGGCGGAAUGCGUCGUGUAGCGGUGAAAUGCUUAGAUAUGACGCAGAACUCCGAUUGCGAAGGCAGCUUACUGGGAUGCAACUGACGCUGAGGCACGAAAGCGUGGGUAUCAAACAGGAUUAGAUACCCU
Molecule: ribosomal RNA, 265 nt
Filed under: uncultured prokaryote
Description: partial 16S ribosomal RNA
Rfam family: Bacterial small subunit ribosomal RNA
Source: RNAcentral